UGCCAGUAGUCAUACGCUCGUCUCAAAGAUUAAGCCAUGCAUGUGUAAGUAUAAAUAGUUAACUUUGAAACUGCGAAUGGCUCAUUAUAUCAGUUAUAGUUUAUUUGAUGAAGAAUACUAAUUGGAUAACCGUAGUAAUUCUAGAGCUAAUACAUGUAUAAAGUCUUGUAGACUGCAUUUAUUAGAAUGAAAACCAUAGGUUUCGGCCUAUUCGUGAGUAAUAAUAACUAAUCAUAUCGUAUGCUUAUGUAACGAUGUGUCUUUCAAGUUUCUGCCCUAUCAGCUUUCGAUGGUAGUGUAUUGGACUACCAUGGCAGUAACGGGUAACGAAGAAUUUGGAUUCGAUCUGGGAGAGGGAGCCUGAGAGAUGGCUACCACCUCCAAGGAAGGCAGCAGGCGCGUAAAUUACCCAAUCCUGACACAGGGAGGUAGUGACAAUAAAUCACAAUGCGGAACAAUGUUUUGCAAUAGGAUUGAGACACAACGUACAAACCUUAUCGAUAAACAAUUGGAGGGCGAGAGUGGUGGUGC
This 531-nucleotide ribosomal RNA is filed under the name Blastocystis hominis. RNAcentral describes it as "SSU rRNA". It matches the Rfam family "Eukaryotic small subunit ribosomal RNA", at positions 15 to 571 of the family's 1831-position model. The record is from RNAcentral. Lineage: Eukaryota; Bigyra; Opalinata; Blastocystidae.